RNAcentral lists this ribosomal RNA (421 nucleotides) under uncultured soil bacterium. RNAcentral's name for it is "bacterial SSU rRNA". It matches the Rfam family "Bacterial small subunit ribosomal RNA", at positions 26 to 445 of the family's 1533-position model. The record is from RNAcentral.
AGAUUGAACGCUGGCGGCAGGCCUAACACAUGCAAGUCGAGCGGUAGAGAGGUGCUUGCACCUCUUGAGAGCGGCGGACGGGUGAGUAAUGCCUAGGAAUCUGGCCUAGUGGUGGGGGAUAACGUUCGGAAACGGACGCUAAUACCGCAUACGUCCUACGGGAGAAAGCGGGGGACCUUCGGGCCUCGCGCCAUUAGAUGAGCCUAGGUCGGAUUAGCUAGUUGGUGAGGUAAUGGCUCACCAAAGGCGACGAUCCGUAACUGGUCUGAGAGGAUGAUCAGUCACACUGGAACUGAGACACGGUCCAGACUCCGUACGGGAGCAGCAGUGGGAAUAUUGGACAAUGGGCGAAAGCCUAGAUCCAGCCAUGCCGACGUGUGUGAAGAAGGUUCUUCGGAUUGUAAAGCACUUUAAGUGGAGG